AGAGUUUGAUCAUGGCUCAGAGCGAACGCUGGCGGCGUGCUUAACACAUGCAAGUCGAGUGCGCGCCCGUAGCAAUACGGGUGGCGCACGGCGCACGGGUGCGUAACACGUGGGUACCUGCCCUUUGAUGGGGAAUAACCCCGCGAAAGCGGGGCUAAUUCCGCAUAAGAUCCGCAAGGAUGAAAGCCGAAAGGCGUCGAAGGAGGGGCCUGCGCACGAUUAGCUAGUUGGCAGGGUAACGGCCUACCAAGGCAAUGAUCGUUAGCUGGUCUGAGAGGAUGGCCAGCCACACUGGAACUGAGACACGGUCCAGACUCCUACGGGAGGCAGCAGUGGGGAAUCUUGCACAAUGGGCGAAAGCCUGAUGCAGCGACGCCGCGUGGGGGAUGAAGCUUCUCGGAGUGUAAACCCCUUUCGACCCGGACGAAUACCUCGCAAGAGGGGUGACGGUACGGGUAUAAGAAGCCCCGGCUAACUACGUGCCAGCAGCCGCGGUAAGACGUGGGGGGCCAGCGUUGCUCGGAAUUACUGGGUGUAAAGGGUCAGUAGGCGGUGUGGCAAGUCGGGAGUGAAAUCUCUGGGCUUAACUCAGAGACUGCUUCCGAAACUGCUGUGCUUGAGUGUGGGAGAGGCGCGUGGAAUUGCAGGUGUAGCGGUGAAAUGCGUAGAUAUCUGCAGGAACACCCGUGGCGAAAGCGGCGCGCUGGACCACAACUGACGCUGAAUGACGAAAGCUAGGGGAGCAAACAGGAUUAGAUACCCCCGUAGUCC
Molecule: ribosomal RNA, 771 nt
Filed under: uncultured bacterium
Lineage: Bacteria
Description: bacterial SSU rRNA
Rfam family: Bacterial small subunit ribosomal RNA
Source: RNAcentral